AACUUAGCACCGUCCUCACGACCUUUGCAUGGU
This 33-nucleotide small RNA is filed under the name Arabidopsis thaliana (thale cress). Its description in RNAcentral is "ATSL126710". Lineage: Eukaryota; Viridiplantae; Streptophyta; Magnoliopsida; Brassicales; Brassicaceae. The record is from RNAcentral.